Molecule: long non-coding RNA, 11157 nt
Filed under: Olea europaea subsp. europaea
Lineage: Eukaryota; Viridiplantae; Streptophyta; Magnoliopsida; Lamiales; Oleaceae
Source: RNAcentral
AAAAAGACCCGAAAAUGAAGAAAGAUAACCGCAAUGUCGGAGACUCAUAACACGGGAAGGGUGCUGAACCCAUGGGCUCUUCUUCUUCUUCAAAAACUUGGCCACUCAAGUGCGCCAGUUGGUAUUUCCUCCAUGACUCCUUUAUUUUUUCGUAUGAUGUAUGAAUUACUUAUAAGCAUAUUAAAUGUUUUGAAUGUUGACCUUGUAGUCUGCACUUGCUAAAUAAACCCAUGUUGCUCUUCUGCAAUCACGUCGUCUGCAAGUAAGUACUUAUUGCGUUUUUGUGUGUGCAUUUAGUUGCUUCUUUUUUUUUCUUUUUUGGGUUUUUUCGUCCUUUGUGUGAUUCAUGUUCCUUUUUUGCUGUUGUUUGAAGUUUCAUAUUUACAUUCCAAAAUCGAAACAAUUAGGUACAUAAUCAGUUUGUUGAUAGAGUACUUUAACAUAUUCUUUGUUAGAUUUUUAUAGCACGGAACAGAAAUAUCUUUGGCUAAUAUUUUUUUCAUUAUUCUUUCCUUUUCAUCCUAAUUCAAGUUCUUUAGAAAUUUGUUAGAAAUAGAUACAAGCCAAAUUUUAGAAACUCUAUGACCCCAAAAUCUGAGUGGAUGUUUCUGUUGGAAUAAUUAAUUAUUUCAUAUGUGGGCUUCACGUUAGAUUGUAAAUUUUACGGGUUAGAUAUAUGACUCAUAAUGAUAUUUGUGUUUGAGCCAAAUUUAUUAAGUGAUCAAUUGGGCCUUUUACACCUUACGGAUUGUAAUUAAUUUUAUGUGGUAGUUCAAAGUAUGUGGACCGGAAAUAAACUCUAAUUAGAAUUCUAGUCGUAAUGGGACGACUCAAAUUAUUUCCUAUAUAUAAAGGUUAGGUUCCCUCUCCUCUCCAUAUGUUUAUUGGCUUGCCCCAUUGAUAGCUGAUUUUUGUGAGGAGUAAGGAGGGGAAGAUUUUGGCUACUAUUACAACUACUAUUCAUAUCAACAAUGGUUUCCGCACGUAUGAAUUCGUUUCUAUUAAUUUAUUGAAUUGUGAUUAUCGAUUCUUAACAUGAUUAAAACUAAGGAUUAACAAUUGGUAUCAGAGCCUACAUGUUAAGAUCGAAAUCCUUAAUGAAAUUCCUUUUCCUAUAUCCGUGAUCUGUGCAUAUAUUUAUAAUAUGAAUUAUUAUUAACAUGGCCCAACACCAAAUCCCAAAAUUAGAAUCUGUAAAAUCUGUGCAUAUAUUUAAAAUACGAAAUCACGUGAUUGAGUAACCCGGAACAAUACGAAUUCAGUUGACAGAAAUAUGAGAAUGUGUAGAAUCAGUACACGCUUCCAUUAUCCUCGAAUUGAGAUAGUUUGUAUUUCAAGAAAAGUAUGUUCCAUGUGUUGCUGAUAAAUAUUUUGAAUUUGUCAUCUGGGUCAUCUUAUUCUAGAGAUUCUUAAGGGGUUUAAUCAACAUGCGCUGAUACUAUUUUAAUAAUUUCGAGUCUUCAUGUUGUGGUUCUGAAAAAGAUAAGGGCUUGCAAAGAACCUUUUGUUGUACUGUGUAAUAGAAUUCGAAUAUGGUCACUUAUGCUUCAUGAUAGUCAUCUUAAUGUCGUGAAACUAUAUUCAGUUAUGUUUUAUGAAUACGCUAUUAACGAUGGCUUUGCAUUAAUUGAUGGAGAUUUCUAACACUAUUUUGAUUGUACUGUCUUUAUUGAUUGCCUUUUUUGAAAAGAAUAUUUGUGGGUUUUUGUCUAUGGUGAUUAUCAUGAAAGAAGAGAGAAAAAAAUCAGUUUCUGUGGGAAACCGGCCAAAGGUAGGCGGGGGCUUUUGCCGUAAAUAAUCAAUCUUUAAACCCCUGUUUGCAAUUAUCGGUUGGGGGUCGUAUUGUAAUUACUUAAAUACGGACCUGCCAUGCAAUUUUUAAUAUGAAGGACCUGAUCUUAAUUUGUGUUUAGUAUUAAAAUGUAAUUUUCAAUAAGGGGCUCUUAAAUUUGAAUUUCUAAACUUUUGACCCUAAAUUUUAUUUUUGACCAAAUUAAAACUUUAAUUGAUAAUUGGCCUGAUUAAAAUAUAUUAGAUAAUAAUAAUAAUAAUUUAAUUGACGACUUUUGUAUUAUUUCAUUAAAAUGUUAUGUAUUGUCAUUAUUUAUGCAUUAAAUUUUGUUGUCAAUUUCGUCUUUUAAUAUUAAUCACGUAUGGAUUUCUUGUCUUUUGUCAAUUAAUGAUUAUGAUUUAUUGCAUAAUUAUUAUUCCGCGACUGAAUUUUUCAUGGGAUUUAAGACGAUUCUUAUUUUCCCAAUGAGAGAGAAAUAUUUUGAAAUAAAAAUGGGUGGUAUCUGCCAAAGUGGCACACUCCGGUUUUCUCUACAAUAAAAUUAUGUAUAUAUAUUUUUGUGCAACAAUUCUGAUUUAUUGCAUAUAAUAUCUUUCCCAAAGGUGUUAUUAUAUGUGAUAUUUUUUUUUUUUUGGAAAAUGGCAUAAGAUAGUAACGAGCUUAUUUUGGUUCAGAAAUUUUCUUCUGCCCAAAGGUGUUGGAAUUUCGAAAACCAAUGUGAUUUUACUAACUAGCUACAUGAUGUGUUUUAAGAGUACUUUAUAGCAUGUUGUAUUGUCGACCCAAAUGUGACUUUAUGAUGAUGCACCUAGGCUCUUACCAUAAUAAAAUUUAUAUGUUUCGAUUUAAAUUACGGAUUAUCUAACUAAUAGCCCAUAUUAAUUAGUUGGAUAUUUCAUCAUCCAUUUGAUUGCAUGUAUUAAGUUUGGAUGAUAUUAAGAGUGAUAUUUUAUGUUUCCACAGUUUAUAAUGCCUCAUCUCUUUCGAAUCAAUUGUCUGCUAUUGAAACUUUGACUGGGAAUAACUGUGUGAGAUGGAAACGAGACGUAGAAAUAGCACUUAGUCUUUUGGGCUUGGAUUUUGUAAUGGAGAAAAAGUUUGAAAAACCUACAAAUAAGAGUACCGUUGAAUAUGUAGCCGAGCAUGAAAAGUGGGAAAGGGCUAACAAACUCUGUUUGAAAAUCAUUAAGCGAUCGAUAUCUGAUUCCAUCCUAGGUGCCAUCCCUGAUAAUGAAAAUAUCAAAAGUUUUAUGGAUGCCAUAGGAGAAAAAUUUGUUGAGUCUGAUAAAGCCGAAACUGGGGAUCUGAUGGAUAAAUUGAUGAGCAUGAGAUAUGAUGGCAUAAAUGGUGUUAGGGAGCAUGUCAUGAAAAUGAUAAAUAUAUCAUCUAAGUCAAAGGCUCUUGACAUUCCCAUUGCGGAGCCUUUCCUAGUCUAUCAUGUUUUGAAUAGCCUUCCUAGUAAGUUUAAUCAGUUUAAGGUUACUUACAAUGCUCAGUGGGAUAAAUGGAAUUUGAAUGACCUCAUAGCAGUGUGUGCCCAAGAAGAGUAUAGGAUGCACCGUGAAAAUGUUGAAACUGUACAAUUAGCUUUUCAACCAUCAUAGAAUAAGGGGCCUUCUCAUAAUCAUAAACCUAAGUUUCGUAAGGGUAAUAAGUCCCAUCGAAGUCAGCAGAAUAAAAAUUUUAGUGGUCCCAAAGUAGUUAUAAAGAAAAAUGAUCAAUGCAAGUUCUGUAAAAAGAAAUGUCACUGGUAGAAGGACUGUUUUAAGUUCAAGACUUGGUUGGAAAAGAAGAAGAGUUCUUCAGGUAUUCCCUUGGCCUUAGUUUGUUUUGAGUCUUCUUUAGUAGAUGUGCCUUUGAAUUCUUGGUGGUUAGACUCGGGAGCUAGUUUUCAUAUUGCGAAUUCCUUGCAGGGGUUCAUAAGCAAACGGAGGCCAAGGGAGAAUGAAGUAAGCUUGAGCGUUGCAAAUGGAUUCCAACUGAAGGUUGAAUUCAUAGGAGUAGUGAAGUUAACUUUAGAGUUUGGUUUUUAUAAAAAGAAAGGUCACUGGUAGAAAGACUAUUUUAAGUUCAAGACUUGGUUGGAAAAGAAGAAGAGUUCUUCAGGUAUUCCCUUGGCCUUAGUUUGUUUUGAGUCUUCUUUAGUAGAUGUGCCUUUGAAUUCUUGGUGGUUAGACUCGGGAGCUAGUAUUCAUAUUACGAAUUCCUUACAGGGGUUCAUAAGCAAACGGAGGCCAAGUGAGAAUGAAGUAAGCUUGAGCGUUGCAAAUGGAUUCCAAGUGAAGGUUGAAUUCAUAGGAGUAGUGAAAUUAACUUUAGAGUCUGGUUUUUAUCUUGUUUUGAAAAAUACAGUUUAUGUACCGCAGAUGAGACGGAAUUUAAUUCCUAUACCAAAACUUGAUGCUUGUGGUUUUACAUUUAAUUUUGGUAAUGGAAUGGUUAAGUUAUUUAAUGAUUCCCGUUUGAUUGGAAAUGACAUUUUAUGUGAUGGUUUAUAUAAAUUAUCUUUGGCUUCUUUUGGUGAUAUCUCGUGUGUUACAAAUGUAUCAAAGAAAAGGGCUUUAAUUCGUGAAUCAUCCUCUAUGUUGUGGCAUAAGCGAUUGGGUCGUAUUUCUAAAGAUAUAAUGGAAAGAUUAGUAAAAGAUGAGAUACUUCCUUCCUUAGACUUCUCCGAUUUUGACACCUGUAUAGAUUGUAUAAGAGGAAAGUUAACUAAGUCUACGAGGAAGGGUUCGACUAGGAGUAAUGGAAUUUUGGACUUAAUUCACAUUGAUAUCAGUGGAUCUUUGCUUUCCAUUAUAUGUGGGAAUAAAUAUUUCAUAACUUUCAUUGAUAAUUUCUUACGAUAUGGAUAUGUUUAUUUGAUUAACGACAAAUCACAUGCACUCGAGAAAUUCAAAGUUUUCAAACUGGAAGUAGAGAAACAAUGUGGGAAAAGUAUCGAAGUUGUAAGAUCUGACCGAGGUGGUGAGUACUAUGGAAAAUAUGACGAGUCUGGUCAAAAUAUGGGUGAUUUUGCAAAAUUUUUACAAGAGUGUGGAAUAGUGUCCCAAUACACCAUGCCAGGAACACCUUAGCGGAAUGGUGUUUCUGAAAAACGUAAUCGAACUGUAAAAGAUAUGGUUAGAAGUAUGAUAAGUAGAACAAAUUUGCCUGAAUAUUUGUGGGGUGAAGCCUUGAAAACAGCUAUGUAUAUUUUGAACAGAAUUCCAAGUAAAGCUGUUGCAAAGACACCUUUUGAAUUAUGGACAGGACGUAAGCCAAGUAUGGCUCACUUUAAAGUUUGGGGAUGUCCAGCUGAGGUUAGGAUUUAUAAUCCAUUUGAAAAGAAAUUAGACUCUAAAUCAGCUUCUGGCUACUUUAUUGGGUAUCCGGAUAGAUCAAAGGGAUAUAAGUUUUACUAUUCAAAUCGCAGCACUAGAAUUGUGGAGUCCAUUACUGCUAAAUUUCUGGAGAACGAUUUUGGAGAUAGUGGGAGUUUCACGUUGAGAGAAAUUCUUGUUGAACCUAAUCAAGUUGUAGUUCUAGUUCCUGUCAUACAGGAAAGAGUUGGUUCUCAACCAAUUGAAGUUGUUAAUGAAGAACAGAGGAACCAGGAAGAAUCUCCAAUUCCUCAAACAACGAUUGAAUCGGUUCCCGAGUCACAAUUUAGGAGAUCACAAAGGGAAAGAAGAUCUGCAUUGCCCAGUGAUUAUGUUACAUAUUCAUUGGAGAGCGAUUUUAAUAUUGGGCAUAUUGUUGAUCCUGUAACUUAUAAUCAAGCAUUGACAAGUCCUGAGGCAGAUAAAUGGAUAGCUGCCAUGGAAGAUGAAACGAAUUCCAUGGAAAGGAAUAAAGUUUGGGAUCUUGUUGAACUUCCUCCAGACGCUAAGGUUGUAGAUAACAAGUGGAUCUUCAAAAGUAAAUUAGAUUCAAAAGGAAAUGUUGAACGAAAGAAAGCAAGAUUGGUUGCAAAAGGUUUUACUCAACGAGAGGACAUUAAUUAUGUUGAAACCUUCUCCCCUGUUUCGUCGAAAGAUUCUUUUCGAAUUAUUAUGGCUCUUGUGGCACACUACAAUUUGGAGUUUCAUCAAAUGGAUGUUAACACAGCAUUUUUGAAUGGAGAUCUUUCUGAAAUGGUUUAUAUGAAACAACCUGAAGGUUUUGUUGUAAAAGGAAAAGAAAACUUGGUGUGUAAGUUAAACAAAUCCUUAUAUGGUCUCAAGCAAGUAUCUUGACAGUGGUAUUUGAAGUUUGAUGAGAUUGUGACAUCUCUUGGUUUUGUCGAAAAUAUUAUUGAUCAAUGCAUUUAUCUUAAAAUCAGUGGGAGAAAUUUUAUUUUCCUUGUACUGUAUGUUGAUGACAUUCUGCUUACUAGCAAUAACUUAGAACUGCUUCAUGAGACAAAGAAAAUGUUGUCUUCUAAUUUUGAGAUGAAAGAUCUUGGAGAAACUUCCUAUGUACUUGGCAUUGAAAUACAUCGUGAUAGAAAUCGUGGCUUAUUGGGACUUUCUCAGAAAGUUUAUAUACGACGUGUUCUAGAAAGGUUUAAUAUGCAGAAUUGUGCACCUGGUGAUGUACCUAUCAUCAAAGGAGAUAAGUUUAACAAAACUCAAUGUCUAAGGAAUGAGCUGGAAAGGGAGUCUAUGAAGAUGAUCCCAUAUGCUAGUGCUGUGGGGAGCUUGAUGUAUGUUCAAGUUUGCACUAGAUCGGAUAUAGCAUACACAGUAAGUGUCCUUAGCAGAUUUCAGUCUAAUCCAGGACAAGAGCAUUGGAAAGCAGCUAAGAAAGUUAUGAGAUAUUUGAAGAAAACUGAAGGUUAUAUGCUUACAUUCCAACAUACAAAUCAUCUUGAGGUAGUAGGAUAUUCAGAUUCAGAUUUUGUUGGAUGUCAAGAUGAUUUGAAAUCAACCUCAGGUUACAUUUUUACAUUAGCUGGUGGUGCCAUUUCUUGGAAAAGUGCUAAACAGACUCUAGUGGCAUUUUCUACUAUGCAAGCUGAAUUUGUGGCAUGUUAUGGGGCUACAGUCCAAGCCGUUUAGUUAAAAAAUUUCAUCUCUGGCUUGAAAGUUGUUAAUUUCAUCUCAAGACCGAUCACCAUCUACUGUGAUAACAGUGCAGCAGUAUUCUUUUCAAAGAAUAAUAAAAAUUUUGGUGGAUCAAAACAUAUUGACAUCAAAUAUUUGGUUGUUAGAGACGGAGUCAAAGAAGGGCAGAUGAAAAUAGAGCAUAUCAAUACAGAGGCGAUGGUUGCAGAUCCCUUGAAUAAGGGACUCGCUCCAAAAGUCUUUAAGACACAUGUUACUAAUAUGGGUAUUGUGGAAACAUUUGAUAUUUUUGGUUAGUGAGAUUUAUUUAUGUAAAGAACUACGUUUUGGGCUUGAUCCCUUGCGGGGUACGUAGGCAACCCAUAUUUUUUGGGUACAGCCCCUUCUGAUAAUAAAAUAAUUUUUUUCCUAUCCAUGAACUAUUUUAAGCAUGCAUUUGACUUAUAUCUUUUUAUAUUAUUGGUAUCUUGAAAUAUGACGUAUAAAGACAUAAGAUGAGUCUCUUUUUAGAGACAUGUGCCUUCAUUUUUAUUCGAAGCAUUAUGAGGACCGAUAUGAGUUAGCACAGUUUUUUAUCACAUUUGGUGCUAAGUUCAUACCACAUACUACCACAUUGGUUGGAGGAUGGGGAUCCAUGUUGAUAAGGAUGUUGACAUCUGUAGCUGUGGAAUGGUCUUACAUCUCUUAAAUUGGUGUAAUGACUUCCAUGUUAGGUUUUAAUAUUCUUGUUGGACCGGAUCAUGUUACGUAAGGUGUCAUCAUUGAAGCUAUACUUUUGUGGCCACCUAUGUAGUCUAACCCGGGUGUUAAAACUUUGUUAUGGCAAUCAAAUGUUUGCCCAAGUGGUAGAAUGUUGGAAUAAUUAAUUAUUUCAUAUGUGGGUUUUACAUUGGAUUGCAAAUUUUACGGGUUAGAUGUAUGACUCAUAAUGAUAUUUGUGUUUGGACCAAAUUUAUUAAGUGAUCAAUUGGGCAUUUUACACCUUACGGGUUGUAAUUAAUUUUAUGUGGUAGUUUAAAGUAUGUGGAUCGGAAAUAAACACUAAUUAGAAUUCUAGUCGUAAUGGGACUACUCAAAUUAUUUCCUAUAUGUAAAGGUUAGGUCCCCUCUCCUCUCCAUAUGUUUAUUGGUUUGCCUCAUUGAUAGCUGAUUUUUGUGAGAAGUAAGGAGGGGAAGAUUUUGGUUGCUAUUACAACUACUAUUCAUAUCAACAAUGGCUUCCGUAAGUAUGAAUUCAUUUCUAUUAAUUUAUUGAAUUGUGAUUAUCGAUUCUUAACAUGAUUAAAACUAAGGAUUAACAAUUUUAGCCGAGCAAUUUUUUAAAUUUCAUUGUUAGGUUAAUUAGCUGCAUAGUGGUUGUUUGAUUGCUACAAAUGAUCUUGGUAUGUUGCAUGAGACCAAGAAAUUUCUCUCUAAGAACUUUGAAAUGAAAGACAUGAGAGCGGCAAACUAUGGGAUAGGAAUAGAAAUAUUCCGAGACAGAUCACAAGGAAUGUUAGGGUUGUCUCAAAAAUCAUACAAUAAUAAAGUUUUAGAGAGAUUCAAGAUGGAGAACUGCUUUGCAAGAGUUGUUUCAAUUUAGAAAGGAAACAAAUUCAAUCUUAUGCAAAAUCCAAAGAAUGAAUUGGAAGACACACUUAAGGUUUCAGAAAUAGAAUUUGUAACCUAAAGCUUUUCUCUUACUAAACUUACGAAGAAAUUGAGGAAAUUUUCAUUAUUACUUCGGCACGGCUUGAGGUUUGUUUUGUUAAAAACUCGUAAAAUAGAAUACUUACUUCCAGUUUGACAAGGUUUUUGAAAAGUCAAAAGUUACUUUUGGAUAUUUUUUGUAACGAUCCAAUCUUUGUGUCCAAGCAAUUAACUUAUGUACUGCCCACUCUUGGAAAGCCUAAGAUCAUCUUACCGCUUAUGGAUUUCUAUUGCGUCCUUAGGAUUCGAACUCUUAACCUACUUAAGUGUCUCACUAGACAAAGGUCUUGGAUUUCAAUCCUGAAGGACACGAUAGAAAGCUAUGAGGGGAUAAGUGGGCAGAUGACCACUUAAAGCGGACAGUACGCAUGAUAUAACGGUUCUGGCAUAGAGGUCGCAUCGUUGCAAAAAAAAAGGCACAUUUUUUAACAAGCAGCUUCUAUGUUGAAGUUGUUAAACUUUUGUACAGUCUGCUCUAGGAGAGGAAACCCAUAUUUCUCUCACAGAUUUCUAUCACGUCCUCAGGAUUGAAACCCACGACUUUCCAUUAAGAGAGAUUUAAAUUGAAUAUUGGUACCAAUUGAAGAAGUAAGUUUAACGGCUUGAGCAUAGAGGCUAUGUUACACUUUUCUGGAAGCAUUUAUUUGGCUACAAUAUCUUUUUAAAAUAAGUUGACCAAAGAUAGCUUGUUGAGGAAGCUUUUCUAUAAGAAGCAGGGAAAAAGCCUUGUCAAACAGUCUCUUAAUAUGUUAAAAUGGCAUCUACAUGGCAUCGAGUAAAUAACUUAAAAAUUAAGGUUAAACCUCUAGUCUUCAGCAGGAGCAAGAACGGCUUCGUGUGGAUGAUAUUCAAAGGCCACAUUUGAGAGGGGUGAAACUUGGAGGUUGAUCAGACGCUCGUGAUUGAUCGUGAAGUAGUUGCCACCAUGAGUGAGUGUUCUCUCUUUUUGUGUAGAAAAUGGAAAUAUGUGUGGAGCAUUUUGGGUGUUAAAUUUGGGAUGGAAUUUUUAUUUUAUUUUAUUUUUAUUUAUUUAUUUAUUAUUAUUAUUUUUACAAUCUAGCAUUAUAAAAUUAUUAGGUAAAUAUUAUUUUUGAAUUUUAAAUUAAUAUAUUUUUAAAUAUUUUAUAAAAUCAAGAUUAGGACAUGGAUAACAAUAUUUGUUAAAUCAGUAAAAACUUUUUCAAUGAUUUUAUUGAUUUGACUAUGAAAUAAGUAAAUAAUUUAUUUUUAGGCUGAUGUUAAUAACUAACGUCUUUUACAAGUAAGAAAAAUAUAAACAUAGAUAUAAUAAAAAAUUACUUUAAAUAGAUCUAAUUUAACGAUAAGUUUGGGAGGUCAUCACAUUUGUUGUGCAUUGAAUCAAAUAUGCACUUCACAAUUCAAGCUAUCUUUAUUUACAUAUUUUACUGAUGCCAAUUUGAUUAUGGACAAUGUGAAUGUUAAUCUAUACGAUUGUUUCAGAUUCUGGAAAGACACUGAACCAGCCCUGGGAAUCAGUUACAAUUGUUGAUGACAAUACAAGAAAGAAACUUAAUGAAAUAGAACCUCACGGAAGUGAUCUUGCCAGCCAUGAUGGAGUAUGAUUCGAUCCCUCGUAGCAUAUGAAAAUUGAAAGUACCACAUUACUUCACUUCUUUUACAAAUACAUAUGUGUUCUGUUCCAUUUCAUUCUAUAUAAUUCUAGCCAACUGCUCAAAUUUAAGUGCUAUGCAUAUUCUUCUGGAUGAUGAUUGAUGUGUUCCUGAACAACAUUAAUAUGUGAUGUACAUAUUUGAUUGAUGGUCAAAGUUUUUGUUCAUUUUUUUCUCUCUUGGUAGAGGGCUUCUGAUGAAUGGAAUUUGUUGGUUGUUGCUCUUAUGCUUGACCCCCUGCUUAACACUAUUCCUAUUAGUUGUCUAUGAAAGGUCUGGUAACAAAAUUGAGGAAAUUGCACCAAAAUAAUGAUGAUGAUGAUCAAAACAUGUCAAUCUAUAAAUCCACCAGGUACACUAUCUUUCCAAGCUUAUCUUAACAGUUUUAACCAUUAAUGGUACGCAAUAACAGUUAUGGCUUUGCUUCAUAAAUUCUACUAUCGAAGUUUUCAUACUGUCAUAAAUUUCAAAAUGCAGAUUUUUUGAGCUUUCUUGAGAAAACUUGUUAGUUUCAAGACAUGCCAAGUGAUGUCGUACCUUAUUAUCUAUUUUUAAGCUUUUGUGGUUCAUUAUCGCAGAGUUCUGGAAAAGAUAAGAGUUAAAAGAUCAGUUGAGGAUGAUUUAGUGAAACAGCUAAUAGAGUUAUCUAUGAAGACGCAUUAUACACAUUGGAUGCCAAAAGACAAGAAACUAAAAGAUUGCAGAUGGGAUUAUGUAUGUUACUUUAUUACCCAUAUAUGGUCUGUAGAAAUCAAAUCUUAAUCCCUCUUACCUUAUGUAUCAAAUAACCAAUCUGCAGGAGGAUUACCUCUGCCCGAAUCACAAUGCUGAUAAAUUACUGAGGCAGCAAUCCUAAUCUAGAAUGUUUGGGAGUGAAGUGAAGGAUUCCAUGCCGGCUCAAAUGUAUGGAGAUCUUUUUAUUGUUAUCCUUUUAUGAGUUGACCUCUUAUCCAGCAGUUAGUAAUCUAAUUAUUCUCCUGAACAUAUGGUUUAUUUUGGUAAAAUCUUACUAGACUCA